This 465-nucleotide ribosomal RNA is filed under the name uncultured bacterium. RNAcentral describes it as "partial 16S ribosomal RNA". It matches the Rfam family "Bacterial small subunit ribosomal RNA", at positions 339 to 795 of the family's 1533-position model. The record is from RNAcentral.
CUACGGGGUGCAGCAGUGGGGAAUAUUGCACAAUGGGCGCAAGCCUGAUGCAGCCAUGCCGCGUGUAUGAAGAAGGCCUUCGGGUUGUAAAGUACUUUCAGCGGGGAGGAAGGGAGUAAAGUUAAUACCUUUGCUCAUUGACGUUACCCGCAGAAGAAGCACCGGCUAACUCCGUGUCAGCAGCCGCGGUAGAUACGGAGGGUGCAAGCGUUAAUCGGAAUGACUGGGCGUAAAGCGCACGCAGGCGGUUUGUUAAGUCAGAUGUGAAAUCCCCGGGCUCAACCUGGGAACUGCAUUUGAGACUGGCAAGCUUGAGUCUCGUAGAGGGGGGUAGAAUUCCAGGUGUAGCGGUGAAAUGCGUAGAGAUCUGGAGGAAUACCGGUGGCGAAGGCGGCCCCCUGGACGAAGACUGACGCUCAGGUGCGAAAGCGUGGGGAGCAAACAGGAUUAGAUACCCCCGUAGUC